AUUGAACGCUGGCGGCAGGCCUAACACAUGCAAGUCGAGCGGAUGAAGGGAGCUUGCUCCUGGAUUCAGCGGCGGACGGGUGAGUAAUGCCUAGGAAUCUGCCUGGUAGUGGGGGAUAACGUCCGGAAACGGGCGCUAAUACCGCAUACGUCCUGAGGGAGAAAGUGGGGGAUCUUCGGACCUCACGCUAUCAGAUGAGCCUAGGUCGGAUUAGCUAGUUGGUGGGGUAAAGGCCUACCAAGGCGACGAUCCGUAACUGGUCUGAGAGGAUGAACAGUCACACUGGAACUGAGACACGGUCCAGACUCCUACGGGAGGCAGCAGUGGGGAAUAUUGGACAAUGGGCGAAAGCCUGAUCCAGCCAUGCCGCGUGUGUGAAGAAGGUCUUCGGAUUGUAAAGCACUUUAAGUUGGGAGGAAGGGCAGUAAGUUAAUACCUUGCUGUUUUGACGUUACCAACAGAAUAAGCACCGGCUAACUUCGUG
RNAcentral lists this ribosomal RNA (484 nucleotides) under uncultured bacterium. Its description in RNAcentral is "partial 16S ribosomal RNA". It matches the Rfam family "Bacterial small subunit ribosomal RNA", at positions 30 to 507 of the family's 1533-position model. The record is from RNAcentral.